This 433-nucleotide ribosomal RNA is filed under the name uncultured bacterium. RNAcentral's name for it is "partial 16S ribosomal RNA". It matches the Rfam family "Bacterial small subunit ribosomal RNA", at positions 29 to 507 of the family's 1533-position model. The record is from RNAcentral.
AGCGAACGCUGGCGGCAGGCUUAACACAUGCAAGUCGAGCGGGCCUUUCGGGGUCAGCGGCGGACGGGUGAGUAACGCGUGGGAACGUGCCCUCUGGUUCGGAAUAACUCAGGGAAACUUGAGCUAAUACCGGAUACGCCCUUUUGGGGAAAGGCUUGCUGCCGGAGGAUCGGCCCGCGUCUGAUUAGCUAGUUGGUGAGGUAACGGCUCACCAAGGCGACGAUCAGUAGCUGGUCUGAGAGGAUGAUCAGCCACACUGGGACUGAGACACGGCUCAGACUCCUACGGGAGGCAGCAGUGGGGAAUAUUGGACAAUGGGCGCAAGCCUGAUCCAGCCAUGCCGCGUGAGUGAUGAAGGCCUUAGGGUUGUAAAGCUCUUUUAUCCGGGACGAUAAUGACGGUACCGGAGGAAUAAGCCCCGGCUAACUUCGUG